RNAcentral lists this ribosomal RNA (340 nucleotides) under uncultured archaeon. RNAcentral describes it as "bacterial SSU rRNA". It matches the Rfam family "Bacterial small subunit ribosomal RNA", at positions 173 to 531 of the family's 1533-position model. The record is from RNAcentral.
GUUUUAUUUCGGCAUCGAGAUGGAACCAAAGGAGGAAUCCGGUCUGAGAUGGACUCGCGUCCGAUUAGGUAGUUGGUGAGGCAACGGCUCACCAAGCCGACGAUCGGUAGCCGGACUGAGAGGUCGACCGGCCACAUUGGGACUGAGACACGGCCCAGACUCCUACGGGAGGCAGCAGUGGGGAAUAUUGGGCAAUGGGCGCAAGCCUGACCCAGCAACGCCGCGUGAAGGACGAAGGCCUUCGGGUUGUAAACUUCUUUGAUCAGGGACGAACAGAAUGACGGUACCUGAAGAACAAGCCACGGCUAACUACGUGCCAGCAGCCGCGGUAAUCCCCCCG